This is a long non-coding RNA of Hippoglossus stenolepis (Pacific halibut), 980 nucleotides long. RefSeq lists it as uncharacterized. The transcript is spliced from 4 exons. The record is from RefSeq and is a predicted model, not a curated record. NCBI's taxonomy places the organism in Eukaryota, Metazoa, Chordata, Actinopteri, Pleuronectiformes, Pleuronectidae.
GUGCUAGCUUGAAAACGUCCACUCACUAUAGUGUUACCACCGUAGCAUUUAGCCGCCGUUAGCAAAGAUAACGUCAGCUGCAAGCUAACACCGUUAAAAAUGCUAAGUGGAUUUCAUUAGCAAGCUAACAUCAUUAUAUUUCUAUGAACAUGAUUUGUGUGUAAAGAGCUUCGCAACUGAGGUGAUUUGACCUCCACAAAGAAGAGGACUGGACCUUGUCUGGUGCCUGAAGAGUUUGGAAGGGUACAUGCAGUCCACGAUCUCCUGGAUCUGCGACAGCUCCAGGUUCUUCAUGAAGUCAUUGUCCAAAAUGGCUUCCUUGAUCAGAUCCUUGGACCUGGAGACGAGAUGAACGCCGUGCAGUUUGAAACUGUCAAAGCCGAGCGUCAGUCAGAUCCUCUGUGAUGGGACAGUGUGAUUGGAGAGAAGUCUGCAGUGAGUCAAGAUCACUCAUUCAUUGAAGCAUGUCAUCACCACAAUCUGAGUUGCUCAGCUGAGUGCUGCGUGGCUGCUAAGUGUCAGCUGGAUGAAUGAGGUUAAUAAUAUGUAUCAGGGUUAAUCCAACAAGAAGUCCCAUCCUACUGAGCAGUGAAUCUUUUUUUUACCUAAUUCAUUAAAAAAUGACAGAGAGCUACUACUCCCUUCCAGCGCGAUUGGAAGGCACUGGUGAACUGCCUGUUGCCUUUUUAUGCUUGUUGUCCUUUUCUGAUUUCUAUGUGCACUGUUGACGCAGAUCACCUGAGGAGCUUUAGCUAAAAGGGCAAACAUCCUUGAAGGCAUUUUAUGAAGCGGUGCUCUCACUUCACACCGGCAUCUCUGUCCUGCUGCCAGCCUGCAGCAAAGUCUUAGGCAAACCACAGAAAUACACAAACAAAACUUCACUGUCUGCCACAAUAUCGACAGGGCCCAGUUUUUUAUGUGCUGAGCACUUAGCACAUAUCCAUGUUUCUAGAACAAAUAAUAAAACUCUUCUGUACGUU